This 491-nucleotide ribosomal RNA is filed under the name uncultured bacterium. Its description in RNAcentral is "partial 16S ribosomal RNA". It matches the Rfam family "Bacterial small subunit ribosomal RNA", at positions 29 to 506 of the family's 1533-position model. The record is from RNAcentral.
AGUGAACGCUGGCGGUAGGCCUAACACAUGCAAGUCGAACGGCAGCACAGUAAGAGCUUGCUCUUACGGGUGGCGAGUGGCGGACGGGUGAGGAAUACAUCGGAAUCUACUUUUUCGUGGGGGAUAACGUAGGGAAACUUACGCUAAUACCGCAUACGACCUACGGGUGAAAGCAGGGGAUCUUCGGACCUUGCGCGAUUGAAUGAGCCGAUGUCGGAUUAGCUAGUUGGCGGGGUAAAGGCCCACCAAGGCGACGAUCCGUAGCUGGUCUGAGAGGAUGAUCAGCAACACGGGAAAUGGGACACGGUCCAGACUCCUACGGGAGGCAGCAGUGGGGAAUAUUGGACAAGGGGCGCAAGCCUGAUCCAGCCAUACCGCGUGGGUGAAGAAGGCCUUCGGGUUGUAAAGCCCUUUUGUUGGGAAAGAAAAGCAGCAGGUUAAUACCCCGCUGUUCUGACGGUACCCAAGGAAUAAGCACCGGCUAACUUCGU